This 253-nucleotide ribosomal RNA is filed under the name uncultured bacterium. RNAcentral's name for it is "partial 16S ribosomal RNA". It matches the Rfam family "Bacterial small subunit ribosomal RNA", at positions 524 to 776 of the family's 1533-position model. The record is from RNAcentral.
UACGAAGGGGGCUAGCGUUGCUCGGAAUCACUGGGCGUAAAGCGUGCGCAGGCGGUUCGCUGUGUCCGAUGUGAAAGCCCCGGGCUUAACCUGGGAAUGGCAUUGGAAACUGGCGGGCUUGAGUGCGGCAGAGGGGGGUGGAAUUCCGCGUGUAGCAGUGAAAUGCGUAGAGAUGCGGAGGAACACCGAUGGCGAAGGCAGCCCCCUGGGUCGACACUGACGCUCAGGCACGAAAGCAUGGGGAGCGAACGGG